RNAcentral lists this ribosomal RNA (425 nucleotides) under uncultured bacterium. RNAcentral describes it as "bacterial SSU rRNA". It matches the Rfam family "Bacterial small subunit ribosomal RNA", at positions 354 to 796 of the family's 1533-position model. The record is from RNAcentral.
GUGAGGAAUAUUGGACAAUGGGCGCAAGCCUGAUCCAGCCAUGCCGCGUGAGUGAUGAAGGCCUUAGGGUUGUAAAGCUCUUUCAGUGGGGACGAUAAUGACGGUACCCACAGAAGAAGCCCCGGCUAACUUCGUGCCAGCAGCCGCGGUAAUACGAAGGGGGCUAGCGUUGUUCGGAUUUACUGGGCGUAAAGCGCACGUAGGCGGAUCGUUAAGUCGGGGGUGAAAUCCUGGAGCUCAACUCCAGAACUGCCUUCGAUACUGGCGAUCUUGAGUCCGGAAGAGGUGAGUGGAACUCCUAGUGUAGAGGUGGAAUUCGUAGAUAUUAGGAAGAACACCAGUGGCGAAGGCGGCUCACUGGUCCGGUACUGACGCUGAGGUGCGAAAGCGUGGGGAGCAAACAGGAUUAGAUACCCUUGUAGUCC